UACGAAGGGGGCUAGCGUUGUUCGGAAUUACUGGGCGUAAAGGGCGCGUAGGCGGUUUGCUAAGUCCGAUGUGAAAUCCCUGGGCUCAAACCAGGAAGUGCAUUGGAAACUAGCAGGCUAGAGUACAGGAGAGGAGGGCGGAAUUCCUGGUGUAGAGGUGAAAUUCGUAGAUAUCAGGAGGAACAACAGAGGCGAAGGCGGCUCUCUGGACUGUAACUGACGCUGAGGCGCGAAAGCGUGGGGAGCAAACAGG
Molecule: ribosomal RNA, 253 nt
Filed under: uncultured bacterium
Lineage: Bacteria
Description: partial 16S ribosomal RNA
Rfam family: Bacterial small subunit ribosomal RNA
Source: RNAcentral